UCGAAAGGUGUCCUGGUCCCUAUGAGACUCUUCUCGAGAUGUGAUGCUUUAAAUUGUUCCAAUGCGCCGCCUGAAAGAUACGAACUCUUUUGGGAUUUACGCGGGCGUUCCUUUAGUCUAAGCAAGGGACAUUUUUUGUGAAGAACCGUAAGGCAGAAACUAUGAAGAACAGAGUUUUUAAGAUUUUUGUGCUUUUGUCCUUUGGCUUAUUGGGGUGCUUUUUGCAGGCUGUUCACUGUGAGCCGCGCUCUGAGUCCCGAGAAGCAGCAGGUAGGCACACGGCAGGUUCCUCUCGCCUGGCCAUCCGAUGGAGCGCUAAUGGACGCGUGUAUAACCUGCUGAGUCACGGCUCUGAGUAUCUACCGUCUCGCCGACGAGGAAACGUGGACUCAAACGGACCUACACUGUUGAUUCGAGAAUCAAACGAGACCGUGCCGCACGUGAAGUCCGAUUCCCGACCGACGCGCACAGAACCCGGGCAAACUGACAGUUCUGACCUGAUGAUGGCUGAUAAUCCGUACGAGCCUUACAAGUCUAUUCGUAACGAGCUCUAUAACCCGUACUACAACUAUUACGACUCCUACUACCAGCCGCGCUCCAGGAACAGAGUUCCGCCGGGCUAUGGGACGAGAUAUUUCCAGUAUGGUCUUCCAGAUCUAAUUCCAGACGCUUAUUAUGUGCAAACUUCCACUUAUAUACAGAGAGUGCCAAUGUACAACCUUAGAUGCGCUGCUGAAGAACACUGCUUGACAAGCUCAGCUGCGCAUGCGCGGGACUACGACACGCGCGUCCUGCUCAGGUUUUCCCAGCGCGUGAAGAACCAGGGUACUGCUGACUUUCUCCCCAGCAGAUCACGAUACGCAUGGGAAUGGCACAGCUGCCACCAACACUACCACAGCAUGGAUGAGUUUUGCAAUUAUGAUCUCCUAGAUGCUUCCACUCAAAGUAAAGUAGCUGAAGGCCACAAAGCCAGUUUCUGUUUGGAAGAUACCUCCUGUGACCCUGGCUACCAAAGGCGCUAUGCCUGCACAUCACACACUCAGGGUCUAAGCCCAGGAUGUUAUGACACUUAUAAUGCAGACAUUGACUGCCAGUGGAUUGACAUCACUGAUGUCAAACCUGGAAAGUACAUUCUCAAGUUGUGCGGUUUUGUUGCAGAUAUCUGUGAAUCCAAAAUACAAGGUUCCAGAGUCAGACUAUAGUAAUAACAUAAUGCGCUGUGACAUUCAAUAUAUGGGCAAUUAUGUCCAUACAUCUGGGUGCAGUAUAUCUCAAUACUGAUUGCAGAGUGUUCGUCAAACCCAAAAUGUUAUUCAUUAAAAACAAAAACUGCUUACCCACAGGAAAUGGAAGACUAAUA
This is an RNA transcript of Clarias gariepinus (North African catfish), 1360 nucleotides long. It is a transcript of the gene named protein-lysine 6-oxidase-like, with no coding region annotated. The record is from RefSeq and is a predicted model, not a curated record. Lineage: Eukaryota; Metazoa; Chordata; Actinopteri; Siluriformes; Clariidae. The transcript has 7 exons.